Molecule: transfer-messenger RNA, 375 nt
Filed under: Saprospiraceae
Lineage: Bacteria; Pseudomonadati; Bacteroidota; Saprospiria; Saprospirales
Also listed under: 1 other name
Description: JABDMH01 sp013001595 Standard tmRNA
Rfam family: transfer-messenger RNA
About the family: Bacterial tmRNA, also known as 10Sa RNA or SsrA, is named for its dual tRNA and mRNA-like properties.
Source: RNAcentral
GGGGCUGACACUGGAAUCGACAGGAAAUGGAAUCGAUGGGUUAGCAUGCCGAAGCAUGAUGUCUUAGCUUCGUUAAAAAAAGACAUUAACCUUUUUUACAUGGCAAUAAUAGCUAUGCUUUAGCUGCGUAAUUCUAGGAAUUAAACAGCUUUUGUGUUACUCUCUUGACGCCAGAUAGAGUGAUGUAACACAUAAACCGACCGCUGGCUAGCUCUGCUGCUUGUUUCGACAGCUGAGUGAAAUUAAGAAACUACGCCUGGUACGUGGCCUGUUGUUGGGCUUGUACUUUGCGGAAAUCCAAUAUAACAACUAAGCAUGUAGAAGGUCCAUAGGUACUUUCGCUGGACCCGAGUUCGAAUCUCGGCAGCUCCACCA